UGACCGCGUACUUUUUGUAGAACGGGCCAACGAGUUACGUUAAGUAGCAAGGUUAAGCACUUAAGGUGCGGAGCCGUAGCGAAAGCGAGUUUUAACUGAGCGUUCAGUUACUUGACGUAGACCCGAAACCGGGCGACCUACCCAUGAGCAGGACGAAGCGAAAGUAAAAUUUCGUGGAGGUCCGAACCCACGAGCGUUGAAAAGCUCGGGGAUGACUUGUGGGUAGCGGUGAAAUUCCAAUCGAGCCCGGAGAUAGCUGGUUCUCCCCGAAAUAGCUUUAGGGCUAGCCUCAAGGUGAGAGAUACGGAGGUAGAGCACUGAAUGUCCUAGGGGGUAUUGCACCUACCGAAGACUAUCAAACUCCGAAUGCCGUCAUCUUAUACUUGGGAGUCAGACUGUGGGUGAUAAGAUUCAUAGUCGAAAGGGCAACAGCCCAGAUCGUCAGCUAAGGUCCCUAAAUGUAAGUUAAGUGGUAAAGGAUGUGGGAUUGCACAGACAACCAGGAUGUUGGCUUAGAAGCAGCCACUCAUUCAAAGAGUGCGUAAUAGCUCACUGGUCGAGUGAUCCUGCGCCGAAGAUUUCCGGGGCUAAAACUUACUACCGAAGCUACGGCAUCAGUAAUGAUGGGUAGGGGAGCUUCCCAUACGGGUUGAAGCAUGACCG
This 663-nucleotide ribosomal RNA is filed under the name Clostridioides difficile. RNAcentral describes it as "bacterial LSU rRNA". It matches the Rfam family "Bacterial large subunit ribosomal RNA", at positions 594 to 1263 of the family's 2925-position model. The record is from RNAcentral. Lineage: Bacteria; Bacillati; Bacillota; Clostridia; Peptostreptococcales; Peptostreptococcaceae.